This 741-nucleotide ribosomal RNA is filed under the name Triticum aestivum (bread wheat). RNAcentral describes it as "partial small subunit ribosomal RNA". The record is from RNAcentral. Lineage: Eukaryota; Viridiplantae; Streptophyta; Magnoliopsida; Poales; Poaceae.
CAGGAGGAACCAGACACCACUGUGGAGCCCCUUUUCUGUGGCCAACUUGAGCUUGCUCAUCCCAAGUGCAUUCUGCACCAACUGAGGCCUAUUAAGCGUGUUGCUUUUGAAGGGCCUGUAACAGGAAGGCGUUUCUAUGGCUGCCCAGUCCAGCAGGAAAAUGGUGUGAAUUGUGGUGUUGUAGAGUGGGUUGAUGGGCCUUGGCCAACUGUUCUUCAGAGAUGUUUGUGCAAACUAUGGGAGAUGUUCCAUGAGCAGAACUUUGGAAGGGUAUAGGACAAGGAGAAGUUUGAGAAGGAGUUGGCCAGGCUUAAGAGUGAACAUGAAAGGGAGUUGGCCAAGCUUAGGACUGAAAAUGACAAGCUUUGCAUUGAGUACACCAAGCUUGUUGAUGAUGUAUCCAAGAUGUUUGAUUGGCAGGAUGGUAGGGUGGACAAGAAGGUGUACCAGAAACAAGUGGAGGAGGAAGAACUUGAGAAGAAGAAGAAGGAGCUAGAGGAGAAAGCUAUGUUGGAGGUGCAGAUGGAAAAGCUCAAACUUGCAAAAGAGCAGAGGUGCAUUUUGCAGAGCCAAGCUGAUAUCAUCAAGAACACCAGGAAGGCUAUGAAGGCUGUUGAAGUUGACAGAGAUGUUCUUAAGAAGGAGAAGGCAAAGCUUGAGCUUGUUGUUGCUGAGCUGCUGAAAGAAGGGUAUGGCAGCAAGGAGAAGUUAGAGCAAAUCAAGGCCAUCCUUGAGUCUUGA